GAUGAACGCUGGCGGCGUGCUUAACACAUGCAAGUCGAACGGAAAGGCCCUGCUUUUGUGGGGUGCUCGAGUGGCGAACGGGUGAGUAACACGUGAGUAACCUGCCCUUGACUUUGGGAUAACUUCAGGAAACUGGGGCUAAUACCGGAUAGGAGCUCCUGCUGCAUGGUGGGGGUUGGAAAGUUUCGGCGGUUGGGGAUGGACUCGCGGCUUAUCAGCUUGUUGGUGGGGUAGUGGCUUACCAAGGCUUUGACGGGUAGCCGGCCUGAGAGGGUGACCGGCCACAUUGGGACUGAGAUACGGCCCAGACUCCUACGGGAGGCAGCAGUGGGGAAUAUUGCACAAUGGGCGGAAGCCUGAUGCAGCAACGCCGCGUGCGGGAUGACGGCCUUCGGGUUGUAAACCGCUUUCGCCUGUGACGAAGCGUGAGUGACGGUAAUGGGGAAAGAAACACCGGCUAACUACGU
This 467-nucleotide ribosomal RNA is filed under the name uncultured bacterium. RNAcentral's name for it is "partial 16S ribosomal RNA". It matches the Rfam family "Bacterial small subunit ribosomal RNA", at positions 28 to 506 of the family's 1533-position model. The record is from RNAcentral.